This 650-nucleotide ribosomal RNA is filed under the name uncultured Lachnospiraceae bacterium. Its description in RNAcentral is "bacterial SSU rRNA". It matches the Rfam family "Bacterial small subunit ribosomal RNA", at positions 64 to 712 of the family's 1533-position model. The record is from RNAcentral. Lineage: Bacteria; Bacillati; Bacillota; Clostridia; Lachnospirales; Lachnospiraceae.
GAACGAAGCACUUUUACAGAUUUCUUCGGAAUGAAGUUUUAGUGACUGAGUGGCGGACGGGUGAGUAACGCGUGGGUAACCUGCCUCACACAGGGGGAUAACAGUUGGAAACGGCUGCUAAUACCGCAUAAGCGCACAGUACCGCAUGGUACGGUGUGAAAAACUCCGGUGGUGUGAGGUGGACCCGCGUCUGAUUAGCUAGUUGGCAGGGCAACGGCCUACCAAGGCGACGAUCAGUAGCCGACCUGAGAGGGUGACCAGCCACAUUGGGACUGAGACACGGCCCAAACUCCUACGGGAGGCAGCAGUGGGGAAUAUUGCACAAUGGGGGAAACCCUGAUGCAGCGACGCCGCGUGAGCGAAGAAGUAUUUCGGUAUGUAAAGCUCUAUCAGCAGGGAAGAAGAAAUGACGGUACCUGACUAAGAAGCACCGGCUAAAUACGUGCCAGCAGCCGCGGUAAUACGUAUGGUGCAAGCGUUAUCCGGAUUUACUGGGUGUAAAGGGAGCGCAGGCGGAAGGCUAAGUCUGAUGUGAAAGCCCGGGGCUCAACCCCGGUACUGCAUUGGAAACUGGUCAUCUAGAGUGUCGGAGGGGUAAGUGGAAUUCCUAGUGUAGCGGUGAAAUGCGUAGAUAUUAGGAGGAACACCAG